This 452-nucleotide ribosomal RNA is filed under the name Blastocystis sp. A1. Its description in RNAcentral is "bacterial SSU rRNA". It matches the Rfam family "Eukaryotic small subunit ribosomal RNA", at positions 477 to 933 of the family's 1831-position model. The record is from RNAcentral. Lineage: Eukaryota; Bigyra; Opalinata; Blastocystidae.
UCAAUACGAAGCCUUUGGUUUUGUAAUUGAAUUGAGAACAAUGUACAAUCGUUAUCGAUAAACAAUUGGAGGGCAAGUCUGGUGCCAGCAGCCGCGGUAAUUCCAGCUCCAAUAGCGUAUAUUAACGUUGUUGCAGUUAAAAAGCUCGUAGUUGAAGUUUAGAUGGUUUGAAGGGGGUGUUAGUAUCAAUGGUACUAUCUGCUCUCUUUGGAUUAUCGACUUCCAGGUAAGUAUAAUGAACCUUUCGGGGUUCGUUAUACCAGACUGGUCUUUUACUGUGAGAAAAUUAGAGUGUUUAAAGCAAACUUUUUUAGUUUGAAUAGAUUAGCAUGGAAUAAUAAGAUUGGCUUUCAUAGUCGAUUUUUUGGUUUGUUUAUGAAAGCAAGAUUAAUAGGGACAGUUGGGGGUAUUCAUAUUCAAUAGCUAGAGGUGAAAUUCUAUGAUUUAUGGAA